This 253-nucleotide ribosomal RNA is filed under the name uncultured bacterium. RNAcentral's name for it is "partial 16S ribosomal RNA". It matches the Rfam family "Bacterial small subunit ribosomal RNA", at positions 524 to 776 of the family's 1533-position model. The record is from RNAcentral.
UACGUAGGGUGCGAGCGUUAAUCGGAAUUACUGGGCGUAAAGCGUGCGCAGGCGGUUCGUUGUGUCCGUCGUGAAAGCCCCGGGCUUAACCUGGGAACUGCGAUGGAAACUAGCAAGCUGGAGUGUGGCAGAGGGGGGUGGAAUUCCGCGUGUAGCAGUGAAAUGCGUAGAGAUGCGGAGGAACACCGAUGGCGAAGGCAGCCCCCUGGGCUAACACUGACGCUCAGGCACGAAAGCGUGGGGAGCAAACAGG